RNAcentral lists this ribosomal RNA (750 nucleotides) under uncultured Lachnospiraceae bacterium. Its description in RNAcentral is "bacterial SSU rRNA". It matches the Rfam family "Bacterial small subunit ribosomal RNA", at positions 29 to 776 of the family's 1533-position model. Lineage: Bacteria; Bacillati; Bacillota; Clostridia; Lachnospirales; Lachnospiraceae. The record is from RNAcentral.
ACGAACGCUGGCGGCGUGCCUAACACAUGCAAGUCGAACGGAACUGUUUUGAAAGAUUUCUUCGGAAUGAAUUUGAUUUAGUUUAGUGGCGGACGGGUGAGUAACGCGUGAGUAACCUGCCUUCAAGAGGGGGAUAACAUUCUGAAAAGGAUGCUAAUACCGCAUGACAUAUCGGAACCACAUGGUUUUGAUAUCAAAGAUUUUAUCGCUUGAAGAUGGACUCGCGUCCGAUUAGUUAGUUGGUGAGGUAACGGCUCACCAAGACCGCGAUCGGUAGCCGGACUGAGAGGUUGAACGGCCACAUUGGGACUGAGACACGGCCCAGACUCCUACGGGAGGCAGCAGUGGGGGAUAUUGCGCAAUGGGGGCAACCCUGACGCAGCAACGCCGCGUGAAGGAUGGAGGUUUUCGGAUUGUAAACUUCUUUUAUUAAGGACGAAAAAUGACGGUACUUAAUGAAUAAGCUCCGGCUAACUACGUGCCAGCAGCCGCGGUAAUACGUAGGGAGCAAGCGUUGUCCGGAUUUACUGGGUGUAAAGGGUGCGUAGGCGGCUUUGCAAGUCAGAUGUGAAAUCUAUGGGCUCAACCCAUAAACUGCAUUUGAAACUGUAGAGCUUGAGUGAAGUAGAGGCAGGCGGAAUUCCCCGUGUAGCGGUGAAAUGCGUAGAGAUGGGGAGGAACACCAGUGGCGAAGGCGGCCUGCUGGGCUUUAACUGACGCUGAGGCACGAAAGCGUGGGUAGCAAACAGG